AUGACAAAAGAAGAGACUUUCUUCGCCAAAGUAGUCAGGGUUUCCUGCUUCAACAGUGCUUGGACGGAACCUGGCGCUUGUCCCCCACCCAGGCCGGCUGCCCAUAAGCAGCCCUCUGUCACCACUUCACCACGCCCUCAGACCACCCCAAGGCCCCCGCCGCGGCUCCAGCACCGCGUGGCCACCUCUUCUUAGUCGCUGCCAUGACGACCACGUCCACCUGGCAGGUGUGCCAGAACUACCACCAGGACUCAGAGGCCGCCAUCAACUGCCAGAUCAACCUGGAGCUCUACACCUCCUAGGUUUACCUGUCCAUGUCUUACUACUUUGACCUCGAUGAUGUGGCUUUGAAGAACUUUGCCAAAUACUUUCUUCACCAAUCUCAUGAGGAGAGGGAACACGCUGAGAAACUGAUGAAGCUGCAGAACCAACUAGGUGGCUGAAUUUUCCUUCAGGAUAUCAAGAAACCAGACUAUGAUGACUGGGAGAGUGGGCUAAAUGUGAUAGACUGUGCAUUACAUUUGGAAAAAAAUGUGAAUCAGUCACUACUGGAAUUGCACAAACUGGCCACUGACAAAAAUGACCCCCAUUUGUGUGACUUUAUUGAGACACAUUACCUGAAUGAGCAGGUGAAAGCCAUCAAAGAAUUGGGUGACCACGUGACCAACUUGCACAAGAUGGGAGCACCCGAAUCUGGCUUGGCAGAAUAUCUCUUUGACAAGCACACCCUGGGAGACAGUGAUAAGGAAAGCGAAGCCUCAGGCUAA
Molecule: RNA transcript, 767 nt
Organism: Nomascus leucogenys (northern white-cheeked gibbon)
Lineage: Eukaryota; Metazoa; Chordata; Mammalia; Primates; Hylobatidae
Gene name: ferritin heavy chain pseudogene
Exons: 1
Source: RefSeq, a predicted model, not a curated record